Pipra filicauda (Wire-tailed manakin) is the source of this 1674-nucleotide long non-coding RNA. RefSeq lists it as uncharacterized. Lineage: Eukaryota; Metazoa; Chordata; Aves; Passeriformes; Pipridae. The transcript is spliced from 3 exons. The record is from RefSeq and is a predicted model, not a curated record.
GGAGUGUGUGCUGUGAAGGAAGGGAUUCACAGCACCUGAGAGUAAAUUCACAAAACAGGAGUUCUAGAGGCUUUUGGCACCACUACCAGCCUGGAGCAUGAAGAAGUGAUGUGAAGAUGGCAUUUCCUAGAAAAAGCGUGCUGGAGUGGCAGGAAGCUUCCUAAAUUUGUUAAAAAUAUGCAUGCUUUUAAGAAGACAGAGUAUCUGUCAGCUAAACAAGUGGAAGAGUUCUGCUUCAUUUUGAUGAGAUGCUCUGCAGUGACCAACUUGCCCUUUGGACAUUUAAGACAGCUGAGUGCCAGGACUGUCUCAAGGAAAAGUGGUAGCAAGAGAAGUAGUAAGUUGUGGCCAUGUGUUCAAAGACAAAGUCAUGUAAGCGCUCAUGCAUUUGUGACUCAAAUGAACAAGCAUGCUUCCACUCUCCGUUCCCCUCUCUAACUGAAAUCAUGUGCAUUAGAGUCUGUAUUUGUCUCAUUUGUCACAGGUGAUGAAAACUCAUUAAAUUUGGGUUGAAAUCCUGACCUCAUCACAAACUCUUUUCCUGUUAUGACCCUGGGUAUGUCUUGUAUUUUCACUUUUUCUAUCAUGAUCCUGACCUUUUCAAGACACACGUAUGUAAGGGUUUUGCAUACCUUGGCCCUGAUUUUAGUGUACAUACUUCGUACCUUCACCCCGAUUUUAGUGUGCAUAUUAAACUACACUGUCACAAAAAUAACAACCAUUUUCUGCUUUCUUUCCUGACCUAUUAACUUUCUAAUUUUUUUUCUUCUUAGACACAUAGAACAAAGAUUUAGCAGAAAACAACCACCUUUCAAACAACAGAAAUAGCUUAAUGCAUUCAACAAUCUGACCCGUUUCCCAAGCCAACAACUAAAAUAAAAUAAUUACAGUUAAACAUGAGUUUUGCUUAGAACAAACUCCCAUAGUAAAUGCCUUGUUUGUAACAGUAAGAAAAUAAUUUCCUGACCAGAAGAGGGCAUUUGACUUCAUGACUUGGGCUCGUGGCUGUGGGCUCAUCAUCUUGAAAUAAAAACAAAACCCCACCAAAACCUAUUCUACAUUACUAAAAAUUCUUACCAUUAGUGGUUACUUCUGUGCAGUACCAGAUGUUUAAACCUUUCACUCAAAGAUCCCCCUGAAGUCAAGAGGGGCUGAGAAUAUGACAGUGAAGAAAAGAGUCAUUGAUCGAUCCUUCUCUGAAUUAUCCACUUCCCACUUUCUAGCAUCAAGACAAGCAGAGCUUUACUCAACCAACAUUCAAGAAAAAGAGCCACCUGCAAAUGGACUUGUUUGUCCCAAGUUACAGGCAUUUACUCACUGGUCUGAACUGGCACAGUUAUUCCUCUUUAUUUUCUUUGUUGUUAGUUAAAACCUCUGAAAUGAUGAGCAUACAGGAGUUUUAUGUAAUCUUAGAUCUUAAAGUGGGAGAUAUUUACACCCUUGUAAAAGGUCCUUAUCAUCCUCAAUCACUACAGCAAUUAAUAACUAGGACAAGACCCCAGCUGUGUGAAUGUGGUUUUCCACAGUGUUGACAGUGAGUAGAGGAAAAAUACACUCACUGAAAAGUGUGUGCUUUUGGGAUCUUAAUUUAAAGUAAGGAGAAGUACCAGGCAGGGGAAAUACUCUCCUGUAGUUGAAGGGUGAACAGUGUGGAUAAAUUGCAGAGUUGGGCAA